Molecule: ribosomal RNA, 393 nt
Filed under: uncultured bacterium
Lineage: Bacteria
Description: partial 16S ribosomal RNA
Rfam family: Bacterial small subunit ribosomal RNA
Source: RNAcentral
AUACGGAGGAUCCGAGCGUUAUCCGGAUUUAUUGGGUUUAGAGGGAGCGUAGGCGGACGCUUAAGUCAGUUGUGAAAGUUUGCGGCUCAACCGUAAAAUUGCAGUUGAUACUGGGUGUCUUGAGUACAGUAGAGGCAGGGGGGAAUUCGGGUGUAGCGGGGGAAUGCUUAGAUAUCACGAAGAACUCCGAUUGCGAAGGCAGCCUGCUGGACUGUAACUGACGCUGAUGCUCGAAAGUGUGGGUAUCAAACAGGAUUAGAUACCCUGGUAGUCCACACAGUAAACGAUGAAUACUCGCUGUUUGCGAUAUACAGUAAGCGGCCAAGCGAAAGCGUUAAGUAUUCCACCUGGGGAGUACGCCGGCAACGGUGAAACUCAAAUGAAUUGACGGGG